RNAcentral lists this ribosomal RNA (1036 nucleotides) under Metarhizium anisopliae. Its description in RNAcentral is "partial large subunit ribosomal RNA". The record is from RNAcentral. Lineage: Eukaryota; Fungi; Ascomycota; Sordariomycetes; Hypocreales; Clavicipitaceae.
AGCGCAUCCCGUUUCGCGGGGCGGGGGUUGGGGUUAAUGCCACCAAGUAGUGGUUGCAGGCUUGAGGAGAGCCGCCGAGUGGUGGUUCUAGAGGGAAAAAUCUGCCAAGUUCAAAGGUCAGGCAAGCGAAAGGUUUACCGAGUCGGAAGGUUGGGCGAGUAAAAAAAUUACCAAGUCCAAAAUACUGGCGGUAACCUACCCGGGACUCCGAGUAAGUCGGGGAAGAAGUUGGCGGAUUUUUUCCCAACCAACUCAACUUUUGACCAAUUUACCUGCCCGAGCUCACGGGUAGGGUGCGGUUUAUUUUUGGACUUUGUAGAUUUACUUAAAUCAAUUCACAGGAAGUUACCUGCCGAAUUACCUGGGCUCCCGGGUAGGCUAUAGUUAACUUUUGGACUUCCGACUAUAACCUGGGAUUUUCCCAACCAUAGCUCACGGGUAGGUUAGUUGUGAUUUUUGGACUCGGUGAAAUUUCUACUUUCCUGCCAAGUCUAGUCUACCCGGGAGCCCAGGCAAGUCGGGCAGGUAAAUUCCGCCAACUCGGCAGGGAACUAAUUGCAAAUCAAUUCAAGCAAAUGUGCCAAGUCCACAAAUCAAUCGCAGCCUACCCGGUAGGUAAGCCUGUGUGAUUUCCGUGUAAUUUCCCGUAAAGACCAAAAAGUUAGGUAUUUUGGUACUUAAUUUAUAUAAGUACAAGUUGAUUUUUUUGUUUUUUUAUAUAAAUAAAUUUUGCGGAAAAUAAAAAAUAAGCUAUAAAAGCCUGGUAGCGGAGGCGGGCCCUUAGGGUAGUUGGUGGGUAUAUGAGAGGGAGGGCUGGACACGCGUCGCGUCGCGUAUUUCCGCCGCAGCCAAUACUUUUAGCUUUAGGGUAGGCUGCUUCUUUAGAGGCGUGCUGAAUUAAAUGGUCUCUUGAGUGAGGGGAUUUCUCUGCUGGCAGUUGCCUGUGAUCCGGGAGCCCGUGGCGGUAAAGUCAACUGUAAGAGCUUGUGUGUGUGCCGGGGCCCUGUAAGUCACGACAAGGAACCCUACAGGUCGC